AGAGCCAAUCGGGGCUUUCCUUCCUCUAAAGCUGCCCACCCCACCCUCCAUCCACUGUCAACAGAGACAUCUGCCUGUAUAGAGAGAUUGUGUCUAAGACAUGUCAUGGAAGAGGAACAAGUUGUACCUGACAAGACUGAGACUGAGGUGAAAGUAGAUUUACAACUGACAGGCUACAAGAAUGACACGGAAAAGAAUGUUACACUGGACAUGCAAAAGAAACCAAAUGAUGUUUUAAUAAUUAAAAGAGCUAUACAAACCAUGAGCUAAAAUAA
Pantherophis guttatus is the source of this 275-nucleotide long non-coding RNA. RefSeq lists it as uncharacterized. The record is from RefSeq and is a predicted model, not a curated record. Lineage: Eukaryota; Metazoa; Chordata; Lepidosauria; Squamata; Colubridae.